RNAcentral lists this small nuclear RNA (313 nucleotides) under Rattus norvegicus (Norway rat). Its description in RNAcentral is "7SK RNA". It matches the Rfam family "7SK RNA". Rfam says of the family: 7SK was discovered as an abundant small nuclear RNA in the mid-70s but a possible function has only recently been suggested. The record is from Rfam by way of RNAcentral. Lineage: Eukaryota; Metazoa; Chordata; Mammalia; Rodentia; Muridae.
GAUAUUGUUCUUCCUAUGGGGUUGCAACAUCUUUAAAUACACUGACUAUCAGGCUCAAUCUGGCCGAUCUGGCUGGCAGUGGAGAUGUUCCCAUUCCUCCUACACAGCUCCAUGUGAAUUCCUCCUAAUGUCGUGCACUCAGUAGAAAGGACCACAGUCCUCAAGCAGAGGAGGACCAUCUCAAAAUCAUUAAGGGCCAUGAGUAGUAGCAUGCCCAGGCUAAACCUCCAAACAAGCUCUCAAGAAAUAGAUCUGUAAGAUACCUUGUGUAUUGUAGACUAUUAGUAAGGAGCAGUAUUGCUAGCUCAUAUUU